RNAcentral lists this ribosomal RNA (466 nucleotides) under uncultured bacterium. RNAcentral's name for it is "partial 16S ribosomal RNA". It matches the Rfam family "Bacterial small subunit ribosomal RNA", at positions 28 to 507 of the family's 1533-position model. The record is from RNAcentral.
GAUGAACGCUGGCGGCGUGCUUAACACAUGCAAGUCGAACGAUGAAGCCCAGCUUGCUGGGUGGAUUAGUGGCGAACGGGUGAGUAACACGUGAGUAACCUGCCCUUAACUCUGGGAUAAGCCUGGGAAACUGGGUCUAAUACCGGAUAGGAGCGUCCACCGCAUGGUGGGUGUUGGAAAGAUUUAUCGGUUUUGGAUGGACUCGCGGCCUAUCAGCUUGUUGGUGAGGUAAUGGCUCACCAAGGCGACGACGGGUAGCCGGCCUGAGAGGGUGACCGGCCACACUGGGACUGAGACACGGCCCAGACUCCUACGGGAGGCAGCAGUGGGGAAUAUUGCACAAUGGGCGCAAGCCUGAUGCAGCGACGCCGCGUGAGGGAUGACGGCCUUCGGGUUGUAAACCUCUUUCAGUAGGGAAGAAGCGAAAGUGACGGAACCUGCAGAAGAAGCACCGGCUAACUACGUG